This is a long non-coding RNA of Nothobranchius furzeri (turquoise killifish), 1978 nucleotides long. RefSeq lists it as uncharacterized. NCBI's taxonomy places the organism in Eukaryota, Metazoa, Chordata, Actinopteri, Cyprinodontiformes, Nothobranchiidae. The record is from RefSeq and is a predicted model, not a curated record.
CGGCAACAGGUAUACCUUUGGAAGAAUGACGGCAUAAUUUAAUUGUUGCAAAAAAAUAAUAAUAAUAAAAAAAAUUAAUCUAAUUGAUGUUUUAAAAUGGACAUAAAUGUAUCCAGUAUCUUUGGCUUUUAGGUGUGAGUUGUACUUUGAAACAAGGUGGUAAAAAUGUCACUGUAAAUGUCACUGAUCGAUUCCUGCAUCGAUUAUUCAAAACCAGAUGCAUCAGUUAAUUUGAUACAUAAACACUGAUAAAAACACAAUAUUCUGUAUAAGCUGACAUUUAUGAAGACUACAUUGUCUCAUCUGAACUCUCAAAUAAUAGAAGGGCAGAUGAAAAAUGAAUAACUUCCUCAAGUAAACUCUGCUCCUGAGAGGGUGUUCCUACUUUGCUCUUUGCGAGCUGAAAGGAGCGUGACUUGACGAAGACGGCCUCGUGGAGUCUGUCUUCAUAUGUGGCCCUGCGGCAAAUGUUAGCGUGUGGGUAGUCCAGACGGAGACAGGACCCCUCCAGGGUGGCAAAGACGGACUGAGUCAGAGCAGGAUGGCAGGUUUCUGGGUCAUAAUCGUGGAUCUUGUUCAUCCAGCCCUGAAAAAGAGAACAAUAAAAGUGUACUUGCUGCAGCUUUAGUAAAGGAAAUAAUCGCACAAAAAAUGGGAACAAAAGAGCAAAAGGUAGAUUUUUAAACUGGUUUUCUUCUCAGUUUGGAGUUGUGGGCUUUUGAAUUUUGUCUAAACCAUCAAAAUGAACAACUUCUUCUUUUUUUAGCCGGGGAUGCAGUAGUGGGUGUUUAAGCAUAACUGAGGUUUUCUCUACACUAUAAUUGGAUCAUUACUGCGUAAACUCUGCUGCAAUGAGAAAGAGCUGUGCUACACCUUAUGUUGUCACUUCAUUGGUUCAUAUCAAUUAUAGCAUUUGCAAGUCUGAAAAUAAUGGUCCUGCAGUAUAAAUGCUCCCAGCUGCAAGAAACACACAAAAAACAAGGAAAGAAGGAAAGGGAAAGUUCUUGGAUAGAUUUUGCUAAUGAGAAUAAAUGAAUUAAAUGAGAAUUAAUCAUUGCUAUUUUUCAUCUGAGCAAAAACUAAGAUGAAAAAUUUAAAAAGCAAGAAAGUUGUUGCACAAAAACAUUGUUUUAAUGGUUUUUUAUUGUUUUAUUUAAAGACACAAUGUGUAGCUUUUACUGUUAACCUCUGGAAAGAUCCAUCGAACUGUUGUUGAAAAUGAACUAAAUGAUGUCCAGUUGUUGAAAACUAUUGGCUGCUUCAUAACAUAUAUGUAACCAUAAGAAUCAGGUCGAAAAGGGAGUCAUGGGCGACGUCAUAUUAGACGCCAUGUUUCUCUCUACGGGAGCUUGUGAGGACAAAAUGCAUUUACUGAUUUGUAAUGAACAGUUACAAAACGUUCACCAUUCAUAAACUUUGUUGUUUUACACAUUUACCUCGUCACUCGUUGCCAGUGUUGAAAGGAAGUCUGAUGUUGUCAUUUUGCUAUUGGCUGCAUUCUGUCGCGGUCCGUGGUGAGCCUCCUGCAUGUAACCCUUUUCCUCUGAGCAUUGUUUCAGGUGGGCGUGUCUGAGAGUCUCCAGCUGCAGCUAAUCCUGUCAUCAAGGCCCAGGGGAUUUAAGGAGCAGUGUGACACUUCAUUCCGCUGGAUGAUUACUCUGUUUGGGCUUCGCUCCACACCCCACCAUCUCCAUAACCAGCUUGGACUCCUGCAACCCAGAUCACGCUGUCUCCUCCCCUGGCCGCCCGCUCUCAGCCGCUCACCUGCUCACACCAAACCUCUGCUCCUACCUCCCCUCUGGUUCAACGGUUGCUUCACCUUCUGGAUCCUUCCUGCUCACCCGGACCAGACCUAGCCCUCCCUGAGCUGCCCACCACUACCUACAAUCAAAUCUCCUCCUGGAAUCUUGCUGCCAGUCCUGCACUGCGUCUGUUCCCGUUUUUCCCGUUACUCUUCACCUAAUAAUAAAGACGUUUU